Long non-coding RNA from Psammomys obesus (fat sand rat), 3424 nucleotides. RefSeq lists it as uncharacterized. Lineage: Eukaryota; Metazoa; Chordata; Mammalia; Rodentia; Muridae. The transcript is spliced from 4 exons. The record is from RefSeq and is a predicted model, not a curated record.
CACACACCCCUGGCCAGGGACCAAGGAGCAGGAGCAGGCACUGGGCUCCUGCUCCCCCUUCCCCCGGGCCUUGUUCAGAGCUGAGCCAUGGACUGAGAGCAAGACACAGCAGUACCUUCAAGGGUCUGGGGAGGGGCCCUAUAUGUCCUCUCCUCGCUUGUAUAGAUGCCUGCGCACCUGCUUGUGGCCUCUCCCUGCUUGGAAGCCAGGAAUGGAAGAGGUCUUCUGAUCAGCUUCUUCCUUCCCAUGGUGCAGUGAGACACCCUAGGACCUGGCUCGGGUGUCGUGCCGGAUGUCCCAAGGCAUGGAGAUGCACUGAUGUUCCAGAAAGUUGGCUGUGUGCACAGACGCCACUCUGAGGAACAAGCUUCUGAGGUUCCUAGCAGGUCUGCGGGGUUGGGGUGGGUCUUGUACCGCCCCAAGGAAGUUCAGAGCAUGAGCUACAUUCAAGGUGUCCGCUUGGGUCCAAUGCCUAAUGUAUCAGGCAGGCAGACCGUUCGGUGUGCUUCUGUCCUCUAGAGCCCUGGUCACCAUGUUACGCUUUAAAGCCUCUCUCUUCAGGUGACAGGUAGGUACCUUGUGGUUUUCACAGCUGGCUUUUCCACGAGACCUGCGUUUGUAGCGGUGUCCCGGCCAUGGGCGAGGGAUCUCACUGGGUCUCUGGCCUGACCCCUGUCCACUCUGUCUGAGAGACCUUUUGUGGCUACCACGGGCCCAACGAGGCCCAGGAGGGAGGAGAUGAUGGGGCCUGCUGUGGUCUCUUUGUCUUUAGCUGGAUGCUGCCUUGGAAGAGGUUGUUCUGGUUAACAGGUAACAAUUCAGCUGUGCCCUUGGCAGCCCCUGGAAUGUUCUACACAUUAGAAGGAGAGCUUUGUGCCCCAUAAGACGCUGGCCUGAUGGCCUCUGACAUCUAGGAUCCCUCAGGACCCCCUCUGUCUUAGUCAGGGUUUCUAUUGCUGCAGUGAAACACCAUGACCAAAAAGCAAGUUGGGAGGAAAGGAUUUGCUGGGCUUACACUGCCAGGCCUUACCCAUCAUUAGAGGAAGACAGGACAGGGACUCAAGCAGGGCUGGAACCUGGAUGCAGAGGCCAUGGAGGGGGCUGCUUACUGGCUUGCUCCUUAUGGCUUGCUCAGCCUGCUUUCUUAUAGAACCCAGAACCACAAUUCCAAGGAGGGCACCACCCACCAUGGGCUGGGCCCUCCACCAUUGAUCACUAAUUGAGAAAAUGCCCUACAGCUGGAUCUCAUGGAGGCAUUUCCUCAGCUGAGGCUCCUUCCUCUCUGAUGACUCCAGCUCGUGUCAAGUUGACACACUAAACUUACACCCUCCAAAUGCAAGCUUCUGCAAUGGUGCCCCAAGAACAGCUGCUGAAUCCAGACAGGCUUUUCUGCCCAGAUCGCCACUGCUUUCCUGUACACAGUGAGGCCACUCGCUCUCCCGGCUCCGGUAAGGUGGGGCUCCCACUGUUCCCAUGAGGUGAGUAGGCAGUAGACUGACAAGAGGUCCCUCUUUCUCCGAGUCCUUGCCUUCCCCUCGCUCCCUUGGCCUCUGGGCCUGGCCCAGGUUUCUAGAGAGAGGCUGUGCUGCGUUGGGGUGGGUGGGUAGCCUUUUGGAGUGUGGGGCAUUUGAGCUCCCUCAAAACUGCAACUUCUUUAAGGCUUUCAUCUGUGGGGCAUGGCCCCCUGCAGAUCCCCUGAGGCCUUGUGCCUGCUCCUCCUAGACUCACAUAGGGGCAUAAAAAGCGAUUUCCCGCAGAAGCGGAGCCUUUAAUCGACAUUCUCCUUUUAUGAACAGUUUUAUUACAAAGUAGAUUUCCCGUAGCCUUCUCCAUCAGCCGACCCUCGAGGCCCUGGCUGCCCGUGUCAGUGGGGGUUGCUAAUUGCAGGGGAGGAGACCGGGGGAAGUUCCUUGUGCCAAAGCUGUCCCAUCCCCUGGGUCCUGACCUCCCGGCAGCUCCUUGGGACAGAGGCGGCCCGAGAUACCAUGGCACUCUGAGGACAAGAAGAUGCGGGGGUGGCAGCUGUGGCCCCAGACAGCACUCUUACCGCAAGCCAGCAGCUUGUGACCGCUGCUGGGACACAUGUACAUGUCAAGGUCCCAGCUGCCUUCCUGCUCACAGUGGUGUCACCGUAGCAAGGGAGCGCUUCUGAGGCCCAGCAAUUCUCUGGAAGUCCCCGGGGGUUGCGGGGAGGUGUGGUAGUGUAGACGGGGUUGUCUCACUCCGGCACCCGAGUCCAUGGCUCCGAGGGUCAGCUGCCAGCAGUAGAGCCCUGGCCUCUGUAGAUCUUGGGCAGUGGGACUUAUCGUCAAGAAAGGGUUUUCAGGUCUGACCUUGGAUGCUGUCUUAGUCAGAGUUCUGUCAGUGUGGCAUAAUUAUCUGAGAUAAUCAGGAGGGAAGCUUCAUUUUGUCUCAGUUUCGGAGGCCUUGGCCCCUGUUGCUUGGGCUGUGGUGGCACAGAGCACUGUGGUGGUUAUGCACAGUGGAGGAAGUGCCCUACCUCCAGGAAGCUGGGACAAGGAGUGGGGCUCUAGGAAGGCGACCUAACUGCCCCCUGUGAGGUCCCACUUUCUAAAUGUCACACCACCUCCCAUAGCUGUACAAGCGGAUGACCAGACCUUCAUCACACGGGCCUCAGGAGAACACCCCUAAGUAUACACAUGGUCAGCUGGGCUGAGGAGACCUGGCUGCAGGCUGGUGAUGGAUGGUCGUGCUCCCCAGAACCCUGUUUGGGCAGAGUCUCUAAAGAGACCUGCAUGUGACCAGAAAGGCGCAGCCACAUCUGCUGGACCCUCAUUUCCGAGAUAUUCAUCUGCAAACUUGUCUUCUGCGGGAUGGGCCCUCUCCAGAGCUGGGAAGACAGGAGGUAGACUUGAGUGGCUGGGCCCUGCAGUCUCCUGCUAAGACACUGAGGUUAGGAAAACGGAGCUUGAAGACAGUGACCAGGCUGCCCCGACCCCAGGGACAGCUGCUAACACAUCACAUCUGAUGAAUCAUUCCAGGUGAAGAUCAAAAGACAACCUAUUGAUAAGUGCAAGGAAAGAAAGUUGCUUCGGGGAAGGCUCUGAUACCAAAGUACAGCGGGGCCAUGUAAGUCUCAGAGUAGAGUGAGCUGAAAGAGUGUAUUACUGAGAAAGUGAAUUAAUAAAAAUCAAACAAUACAGCCCCCCAUAAAUGCUGAAAAAUCAACUUAAAAUUGCAGUUAGAACCUAACGUGGAGCUGGAGAGCUCACCCAGAGGUCAAGAGCACUGGCUGCUCCUGCAGAGGGCCCUGCUUCGAGUCCCAGCACCCACGUGGCGGCUUGCAAUGCUAACUUCAGUUCCCAGGGUCCAGUGCCCCCUUCUGGCCUCUGAGGGCACUGAAUGCGCAUGGUGUCUGCAUGCAGGCGAACACUCACACAAUAAAAUAAAUGUAAAUCUUACA